GCUCAGAUUGAACGCUGGCGGCAGGCCUAACACAUGCAAGUCGAACGGUAACAGGAAACAGCUUGCUGUUUCGCUGACGAGUGGCGGACGGGUGAGUAAUGUCUGGGAAACUGCCUGAUGGAGGGGGAUAACUACUGGAAACGGUAGCUAAUACCGCAUAACGUCGCAAGACCAAAGAGGGGGACCUUCGGGCCUCUUGCCAUCGGAUGUGCCCAGAUGGGAUUAGCUUGUUGGUGGGGUAACGGCUCACCAAGGCGACGAUCCCUAGCUGGUCUGAGAGGAUGACCAGCCACACUGGAACUGAGACACGGUCCAGACUCCUACGGGAGGCAGCAGUA
Molecule: ribosomal RNA, 338 nt
Filed under: uncultured bacterium
Lineage: Bacteria
Description: bacterial SSU rRNA
Rfam family: Bacterial small subunit ribosomal RNA
Source: RNAcentral